AUUGAACGCUGGCGGCAUGCCUAACACAUGCAAGUCGAACGGGGGUAGCGAUACCCUAGUGGCGGACGGGUGAGUAACGCGUAGGAAUCUGCCCCGUAGUGGGGGACAACCUGGGGAAACCCAGGCUAAUACCGCAUGAGCUCGGGAGAGGAAAGCGGGGGACCUUCGGGCCUCGCGCUAUGGGAUGAGCCUACGUCCGAUUAGCUAGUUGGCGGGGUAAGGCCCACCAAGGCGAUGAUCGGUAGCUGGUCUGAGAGGACGAUCAGCCACACUGGGACUGAGACACGGCCCAGACUCCUACGGGAGGCAGCAGUGGGGGAAUAUUGGACAAUGGGCGCAAGCCUGAUCCAGCAAUGCCGCGUGGGUGAAGAAGGCCUGCGGGUUGUAAAGCUCUUUCGCAAGGAAAGAAAACUUAUCUCCUAAUACGAGGUGAGGUUGACGGUACCUUGAUAAGAAGCACCGGCUAACUACGUGCCAGCAGCCGCGGU
This 488-nucleotide ribosomal RNA is filed under the name uncultured bacterium. RNAcentral describes it as "bacterial SSU rRNA". It matches the Rfam family "Bacterial small subunit ribosomal RNA", at positions 29 to 521 of the family's 1533-position model. The record is from RNAcentral.